RNAcentral lists this ribosomal RNA (517 nucleotides) under uncultured Rubrobacteria bacterium. Its description in RNAcentral is "bacterial SSU rRNA". It matches the Rfam family "Bacterial small subunit ribosomal RNA", at positions 579 to 1083 of the family's 1533-position model. Lineage: Bacteria; Bacillati; Actinomycetota; Rubrobacteria. The record is from RNAcentral.
GUCGAUAAGUCUGCUGUGAAGUCAGGCUCAACCCUUGGAUGCCGGUGGAUACUGUCGGGCUAGAGUCCGGAAGAGGCGAGUGGAAUUCCUGGUGUAGCGGUGAAAUGCGCAGAUAUCAGGAAGAACACCAAUGGCGAAGGCAGCUCGCUAGGACGGUACUGACGCUGAGGCGCGAAAGCGUGGGGAGCAAACAGGAUUAGAUACCCUGGUAGUCCACGCCGUAAACGAUGGGCACUAGGUGUGGGGGGUGUCGACUCCCCCCGUGCCGCAGCUAACGCAUUAAGUGCCCCGCCUGAGGAGUACGGCGCAAGGCUAAAACUCAAAGGAAUUGACGGGGGCCCGACAAGCAGCGGAGCAUGUGGUUUAGUUCGACGCAAACGCGAAGAACCUUACCUGGGGCUUGACAUGUCCGUGACCGGCGUGGAAACCACGUCUUCCCUUUCGGGGGCUCGGUCCACCGGGUGGGUGCCAUGGGCUUGUCGUCAGCUCGGUGGUCGUGAAGGAUGUUGGGGGUUAA